RNAcentral lists this ribosomal RNA (592 nucleotides) under uncultured bacterium. RNAcentral's name for it is "partial 16S ribosomal RNA". It matches the Rfam family "Bacterial small subunit ribosomal RNA", at positions 355 to 1375 of the family's 1533-position model. The record is from RNAcentral.
UGGGGAAUUUUGGACAAUGGGCGAAAGCCUGAUCCAGCAAUGCCGCGUGUGUGAAGAAGGCCUUCGGGUUGUAAAGCACUUUUGUCCGGAAAGAAAUCCUUGGCUCUAAUACAGUCGGGGGAUGACGGUACCGGAAGAAUAAGCACCGGCUAACUACGUGCCAGCAGCCGCGGUAAUACGUAGGGUGCAAGCGUUAAUCGGAAUUACUGGGCGUAAAGCGUGCGCAGGCGGUUUGCUAAGACCGAUGUGAAAUCCCCGGGCUCAACCUGGGAACUGCAUUGGUGACUGGCAGGCUAGAGUAUGGCAGAGGGGGGUAGAAUUCCACGUGUAGCAGUGAAAUGCGUAGAGAUGUGGAGGAAUACCGAUGGCGAAGGCAGCCCCCUGGGCCAAAUACUGACGCUCAUGCACGAAAAGCGUGGGGGAGCAAAACAGGAUUAGAUACCCCUGGUAGUCCACGCCCCUAAAACGAUGUCAACUAGUUGUUGGGGAUUCAUUUCCUUAGUAACGUAGCUAACGCGUGAAGUUGACCGCCUGGGGAGUACGGUCGCAAGAUUAAAACUCAAAUGAAUUGACGGGGUCAUAGCUGUUUCCU